RNAcentral lists this ribosomal RNA (2902 nucleotides) under Klebsiella pneumoniae. Its description in RNAcentral is "23S ribosomal RNA". It matches the Rfam family "Bacterial large subunit ribosomal RNA". Lineage: Bacteria; Pseudomonadati; Pseudomonadota; Gammaproteobacteria; Enterobacterales; Enterobacteriaceae. The record is from RNAcentral.
GGUUAAGCGACUAAGCGUACACGGUGGAUGCCCUGGCAGUCAGAGGCGAUGAAGGACGUGCUAAUCUGCGAAAAGCGUCGGUAAGGUGAUAUGAACCGUUAUAACCGGCGAUGUCCGAAUGGGGAAACCCAGUGUGAUUCGUCACACUAUCGUUAACUGAAUACAUAGGUUAACGAGGCGAACCGGGGGAACUGAAACAUCUAAGUACCCCGAGGAAAAGAAAUCAACCGAGAUUCCCCCAGUAGCGGCGAGCGAACGGGGAGCAGCCCAGAGUCUGAAUCAGCUUGUGUGUUAGUGGAACGGUCUGGAAAGUCCGACGGUACAGGGUGAUAGUCCCGUACACCAAAAUGCACAGGUUGUGAACUCGAAGAGUAGGGCGGGACACGUGGUAUCCUGUCUGAAUAUGGGGGGACCAUCCUCCAAGGCUAAAUACUCCUGACUGACCGAUAGUGAACCAGUACCGUGAGGGAAAGGCGAAAAGAACCCCGGCGAGGGGAGUGAAAAAGAACCUGAAACCGUGUACGUACAAGCAGUGGGAGCACCUUCGGGUGUGACUGCGUACCUUUUGUAUAAUGGGUCAGCGACUUAUAUUCUGUAGCAAGGUUAACCGUAUAGGGGAGCCGCAGGGAAACCGAGUCUUAACUGGGCGUUAAGUUGCAGGGUAUAGACCCGAAACCCGGUGAUCUAGCCAUGGGCAGGUUGAAGGUUGGGUAACACUAACUGGAGGACCGAACCGACUAAUGUUGAAAAAUUAGCGGAUGACUUGUGGCUGGGGGUGAAAGGCCAAUCAAACCGGGAGAUAGCUGGUUCUCCCCGAAAGCUAUUUAGGUAGCGCCUCGUGAACUCAUCUUCGGGGGUAGAGCACUGUUUCGGCUAGGGGGUCAUCCCGACUUACCAACCCGAUGCAAACUACGAAUACCGAAGAAUGUUAUCACGGGAGACACACGGCGGGUGCUAACGUCCGUCGUGAAGAGGGAAACAACCCAGACCGCCAGCUAAGGUCCCAAAGUCAUGGUUAAGUGGGAAACGAUGUGGGAAGGCACAGACAGCCAGGAUGUUGGCUUAGAAGCAGCCAUCAUUUAAAGAAAGCGUAAUAGCUCACUGGUCGAGUCGGCCUGCGCGGAAGAUGUAACGGGGCUAAACCAUGCACCGAAGCUGCGGCAGCGACACUAUGUGUUGUUGGGUAGGGGAGCGUUCUGUAAGCCUGCGAAGGUGUGCUGUGAGGCAUGCUGGAGGUAUCAGAAGUGCGAAUGCUGACAUAAGUAACGAUAAAGCGGGUGAAAAGCCCGCUCGCCGGAAGACCAAGGGUUCCUGUCCAACGUUAAUCGGGGCAGGGUGAGUCGACCCCUAAGGCGAGGCCGAAAGGCGUAGUCGAUGGGAAACAGGUUAAUAUUCCUGUACUUGGUGUUACUGCGAAGGGGGGACGGAGAAGGCUAUGUUAGCCGGGCGACGGUUGUCCCGGUUUAAGCAUGUAGGCUGGUUAUCCAGGCAAAUCCGGAUAAUCAAGGCUGAGGUGUGAUGACGAGGCACUACGGUGCUGAAGUAACAAAUGCCCUGCUUCCAGGAAAAGCCUCUAAGCAUCAGGUAACAUCAAAUCGUACCCCAAACCGACACAGGUGGUCAGGUAGAGAAUACCAAGGCGCUUGAGAGAACUCGGGUGAAGGAACUAGGCAAAAUGGUGCCGUAACUUCGGGAGAAGGCACGCUGGUGUGUAGGUGAAGUCCCUGCGGAUGGAGCUGAGACCAGUCGAAGAUACCAGCUGGCUGCAACUGUUUAUUAAAAACACAGCACUGUGCAAACACGAAAGUGGACGUAUACGGUGUGACGCCUGCCCGGUGCCGGAAGGUUAAUUGAUGGGGUUAUCCGUAAGGAGAAGCUCUUGAUCGAAGCCCCGGUAAACGGCGGCCGUAACUAUAACGGUCCUAAGGUAGCGAAAUUCCUUGUCGGGUAAGUUCCGACCUGCACGAAUGGCGUAAUGAUGGCCAGGCUGUCUCCACCCGAGACUCAGUGAAAUUGAACUCGCUGUGAAGAUGCAGUGUACCCGCGGCAAGACGGAAAGACCCCGUGAACCUUUACUAUAGCUUGACACUGAACAUUGAGCCUUGAUGUGUAGGAUAGGUGGGAGGCUUUGAAGCGUGGACGCCAGUCUGCGUGGAGCCAACCUUGAAAUACCACCCUUUAAUGUUUGAUGUUCUAACGUUGGCCCCUGACCGGGGUUGCGGACAGUGUCUGGUGGGUAGUUUGACUGGGGCGGUCUCCUCCCAAAGCGUAACGGAGGAGCACGAAGGUUAGCUAAUCCUGGUCGGACAUCAGGAGGUUAGUGCAAUGGCAUAAGCUAGCUUGACUGCGAGCGUGACGGCGCGAGCAGGUGCGAAAGCAGGUCAUAGUGAUCCGGUGGUUCUGAAUGGAAGGGCCAUCGCUCAACGGAUAAAAGGUACUCCGGGGAUAACAGGCUGAUACCGCCCAAGAGUUCAUAUCGACGGCGGUGUUUGGCACCUCGAUGUCGGCUCAUCACAUCCUGGGGCUGAAGUAGGUCCCAAGGGUAUGGCUGUUCGCCAUUUAAAGUGGUACGCGAGCUGGGUUUAGAACGUCGUGAGACAGUUCGGUCCCUAUCUGCCGUGGGCGCUGGAGAAUUGAGGGGGGCUGCUCCUAGUACGAGAGGACCGGAGUGGACGCAUCACUGGUGUUCGGGUUGUCAUGCCAAUGGCACUGCCCGGUAGCUAAAUGCGGAAGAGAUAAGUGCUGAAAGCAUCUAAGCACGAAACUUGCCCCGAGAUGAGUUCUCCCUGAGACUUUAAGUCUCCUGAAGGAACGUUGAAGACGACGACGUUGAUAGGCCGGGUGUGUAAGCGCAGCGAUGCGUUGAGCUAACCGGUACUAAUGAACCGUGAGGCUUAACCUU